GACGUAGGGCGCGAGCGUUGUCCGGAUUUAUUGGGCGUAAAGAGCUCGUAGGCGGCUUGUCGCGUCGUCCGUGAAAACCUGCGGCUCAACUGCAGGCUGGCGGUCGAUACGGGCAGGCUGGAGUUCGGUAGGGGAGACUGGAAUUCCUGGUGUAGCGGUGAAAUGUGUAGAGAUCGGGAGGAACACCGGUGGCGAAGGCGGGUCUCUGGGCAAUUCCUGACGCUGAGGCACGAAGGUCAGGGGAGCAAACGGG
This 253-nucleotide ribosomal RNA is filed under the name uncultured bacterium. RNAcentral's name for it is "partial 16S ribosomal RNA". It matches the Rfam family "Bacterial small subunit ribosomal RNA", at positions 524 to 776 of the family's 1533-position model. The record is from RNAcentral.